RNAcentral lists this ribosomal RNA (433 nucleotides) under uncultured bacterium. Its description in RNAcentral is "partial 16S ribosomal RNA". It matches the Rfam family "Bacterial small subunit ribosomal RNA", at positions 29 to 507 of the family's 1533-position model. The record is from RNAcentral.
AACGAACGCUGGCGGCAUGCCUAACACAUGCAAGUCGAACGAGACCUUCGGGUCUAGUGGCGCACGGGUGCGUAACGCGUGGGAACCUGCCCUUAGGUUCGGAAUAACUCCCCGAAAGGGGUGCUAAUACCGGAUAAUGUCUUCGGACCAAAGAUUUAUCGCCUUUGGAUGGGCCCGCGUUGGAUUAGCUAGUUGGUAGGGUAAAAGCCUACCAAGGCGACGAUCCAUAGCUGGUCUGAGAGGAUGAUCAGCCACACUGGGACUGAGACACGGCCCAGACUCCUACGGGAGGCAGCAGUGGGGAAUAUUGGACAAUGGGCGAAAGCCUGAGCCAGCAAUGCCGCGUGAGGGAUGAAGGCCUUAGGGUUGUAAAGCUCUUUUACCCGGGAUGAUAAUGACAGUACCGGGAGAAUAAGCUCCGGCUAACUCCGUG